GCGGCGUUGCCGGCUCCAGCCGGACGCGCAGUCCUAUCUCCAUGGCGACGCGGCAGCGAGGGCUCCCGGCUCACAACACCCAGCUGACCACAAGCUGGACUAGCUUUGCGUGUCAACCCUUCCGAUGGUCGGCGUGAGAGGGCCGCAGGCGGGGAAGCGGCGCCGCAUCGACCGCGGUCGCCCUCUCGCCAUCCCCGCGAGCAGCCUGACCCAGCCCUCACCUCAGACUGCCCCAGGCCCGGCGCCUGCACCCGCAAACUUCUCCGCCCACUCCAGGUUCCGGCUCUGGCGCCCCACCGCAGCAGAGGCGGCGCGCGAGAAGGUGUUCCUUCCUGACUUUGUGCGUCAUCGUGUUUCCCUGGACUAGAGUUUGACAGACUCUUUCUGUGACGAGCCAGAAAAGUAAUGAUUGAACCAAAUGAAGCAAUGUCAGGGAAGGAAGUCUCUUCAAGAAAUAUUGAAAAUAAAUUCUCUUCAAAGAAUACUGAAAAUAGAGUAUCUUCAAAGAGUAUUGAAAAUAAAGAUAUAGGAACAAAUCUGCAGUCUAAGCUAUGGUCAUCUUCCUUUUUAAAAGAAAGCACAGGUGAAAUGAGCAAAAAUGUAAUUAUUGCAGAGCAGGAGAAAAGUAGUGAAUAUUGCCCUGAGGAUAUUGAUAAGUUGUCUGAAUCAACAGACGAUGAUGGUGAGGAUGAUACCAACGAUGAGGGUGAUGAGGAAGACAGCACCCCUAAUAAGCAUACUCAUGCCCCAUUAGAGUUAAUGACAGAGUUCCUGAGAGCAGAAAUGGGCCAAGACUACCAGUUGGCAAAAAAAUUAUGUCAGAUGAUCCUAAUCUAUGAACCAGAAAAUCCUGAGGCCAAGGAGUUUUUCUCACUUAUUGAAGAAAUGCUGCUGAUGGAGAAAGCUCAAAAUCUUGAGGAAGAUGAUGGGGAGAGUGAAGACGACAGUAGCAGUGAGAGUGAAGGGGAGAGCACUGAGGACCCAAGUGAAGAAAGCUCUGAUGAAUGUGAAGAUGGGUGAUGACAGUUGCUGCUAUAGUUUAAUCUUCGUUAUCAUGUCAUAUCCAGAAUCCUUGAAGCAUUAUUCAUACUUUGGGCAUUUUGUAGUGUGCUAACAUUCAGAGGAAGAGAUUCUGCUACAUCACUUUAUAGGAGUGUCUGAAAGAAGUGAAGACAGCAGAGAAUAUCCUACUGUAUGUAUCUGCCACAGCAUAGCAAACAUGACACCAAUACCAUCCUGUAAGACUGUAAGCCUAAGUGGACUCUAGGUUACCAUCAGGUCCCCAACGUGUCAUGGCCAUUCAGAGCCAAGGAAGAGGAACUGGCGGAUCCUUGUGCCAGUUACAGGUACAGGUCUCUAAAUGUAUCUUCACCUCAAAGAAAAAUUAUUCUGCAUGUCUUUCCAUGAAAAGGAUAACUUGAAAAUGAUCAUUCUGUAAAGAUGAUAAAUUUCACAGCUCCUUGUCUACCACUGGACAGUGUAUUAGGAGGAAAAUCUCUUGCCCAUGAUAACAGGCACCAAAUUCAGUUUUUUUCCUGUUGGCAUCUGAAGAGCACAGCCAAAGGUGAGGCAGAAUACUUAAAUCAGCAGACAACAUCAUCAUUCUGCAACCACCUUCCCUUAGCUCACAUCCCACCAAUGAAAGAAAAUAAGAGGAAAAAUAGUAAAAAUCCUAUGUACCAAAUGAAACUAAAUACUUUUGAGAAACCUAUCUCGAAACUGAAACUUGCUAAAUUGAGAUCUUUUGCCACCUGUUAAAGCAGUGGUUUGAAUAUUAAUGUAACUGGCUGCUCCUUAAUAGGCUAGUUGAGGUCACCUAGGUGGUUCUGACUUUGGGGAAUGUAUUUCUUGUCUACUUUUUCUUCUCACCUCCUCAUCUGCAUCCAGAUGAAGAAAAGAAAGUGAUACAGA
Hippopotamus amphibius kiboko is the source of this 1911-nucleotide RNA transcript. It is a transcript of the gene named glutamate rich 2, with no coding region annotated. NCBI's taxonomy places the organism in Eukaryota, Metazoa, Chordata, Mammalia, Artiodactyla, Hippopotamidae. The transcript is spliced from 11 exons. The record is from RefSeq and is a predicted model, not a curated record.